CUCAAUGAUAUUUCAAUAGCCGCAAUUUUGUGCUAAGGUAGCAUAAUCAUUUGUCUUUUAAUUAAAGACUAGAACGAAAGAUUUAACAUUUUUAUUACUUUUUUAAUUAUAAUUCUUUAAAUUAUUUUAAAUAUAAAAAAAUAUUUAUAAAACAAAAAGACGACAAGACCCUAUUGAACUUCACUUUUGUUUAACUGGGGUAGUUAAUUAAAUAUUAUUUUAAUUUUUAAAAAAAUCUAAUAAAAUUAAAAUAUAAAGUUACCAUAGGGAUAACAGCGUAAUAAUUUUCCACAGAUCUUAUUCAAAAAAUAGUUUACGACCUCGAUGUUGAAUUAAUUACCUAUUAAAUGCAAUAAUUUAAUAAAGGAAGUC
This 372-nucleotide ribosomal RNA is filed under the name Notiocoelotes orbiculatus. Its description in RNAcentral is "partial 16S ribosomal RNA". Lineage: Eukaryota; Metazoa; Arthropoda; Arachnida; Araneae; Agelenidae. The record is from RNAcentral.